AUACGGAGGGUGCAAGCGUUACUCGGAAUCACGGGGCGUAAAGCGCGCGCAGGCGGGCUGAUAAGUUGGAUGUGAAAGCCUACGGCUCAACCGUAGAACUGCAUCCAAAACUGUCAGUCUAGAGUGUGGGAGAGGAAGAUGGAAUUAGUUGUGUAGGGGUAAAAUCCGUAGAGAUAACUAGGAAUACCAAAAGCGAAGGCGAUCUUCUGGAACAGUACUGACGCUGAGGCGCGAAAGCGUGGGGAGCAAACAGGAUUAGAAACCCGAGUAGUCC
RNAcentral lists this ribosomal RNA (274 nucleotides) under uncultured bacterium. RNAcentral's name for it is "partial 16S ribosomal RNA". It matches the Rfam family "Bacterial small subunit ribosomal RNA", at positions 523 to 796 of the family's 1533-position model. The record is from RNAcentral.